This 393-nucleotide long non-coding RNA is filed under the name Salvia miltiorrhiza (redroot sage). RNAcentral describes it as "long non-coding RNA (SMIL_LNC009779)". Lineage: Eukaryota; Viridiplantae; Streptophyta; Magnoliopsida; Lamiales; Lamiaceae. The record is from RNAcentral.
GGAUUAUUGUCCUCGCAUAAAUUUUCACACCCUUAAUUAUAAUUUAAUCUUGUAUCUUAUGUCCCAAAUCAAAUGUUUAACUUUUGUCCUCUCCAUUCCAAGCCAAUAAAUUAAAUUUAUUUAAAAGGUAAUCGGUCGAUCAAGUACGCUAUAAAUCUAAGAAUAUAAGAACAAAUAACCCUUAAUUGAAUAUAAUUAAAGAUCCAUCCAUAACAAACUCACCUACUCUAAACUCUAGAAUAAAUAAGUCUACUCAAGUUCAUAAAUGUUAAACAAAUAAAAAUAAAGGAAAAAACAUAAAUAAAAAAACAAAAACCAAAGGACAAAACUUUGAGUCAUGAACUUCAAUCUUUAAUUUCCAUAUACCUCCAAUUCGUCCAAACAUCAAGAAAG